Molecule: long non-coding RNA, 1041 nt
Organism: Zophobas morio
Lineage: Eukaryota; Metazoa; Arthropoda; Insecta; Coleoptera; Tenebrionidae
Exons: 2
Source: RefSeq, a predicted model, not a curated record
AUUCCAUAAGAAAUACAUGGGGAGCUUACGGAACGACAUAAAGAGGUCACUAGCGUCACUAAAGGUGCUCCGACCUUGAAGAACAUAGUUUCUUUUUCAUUUUAAGGUUUUCGGUGAACGUUUUGUCUGGUUUUGUCAACAAGAAAUGUCAUAUUAAUUACGGGAUCAUACGGGAUGUAGGGUUAUGAGGUUAAAAACAAACGUAAAAUUUAUUUUAACAAAGUAAUAGAUACUUACGAUACAUGUAAAAAAUACUAGAAAAUUCCAGGCUAAAGAGGUCAACAAACUGCAGGUUAAACGAAAUAGUUUAAUUUUCGAUGUGUGCGUGUUUGAGCGGUCCAAGAUUUAUUUUUAAAUUUUAGUGUGUAAAAAAUUCCAACUAAUAAAAACUGAAACGAGGUAAUCAAGAGGAAAGUCUUUGCAGGGGUGGUGGAAUGGUAUUUUUGUAUGGUUCGUUUUUUAGCCGCAAACCAGUUAACGACUACGGUGCAUAAAUUGGGAAAAACUCAUAAAAUGUAUUACCCAUCGGAGUAUAAACUACAAAAUGUUUAGGUGGUAUCAUUAAAUCCCCAAAAAUCACAUCUUCAUUGAAGACUUUAAAAUGUCACACAAUUAAAACAGGAUGUACCACUUCGUAAGAAUGUGCAAAGUUCACAACAAACUUCGCAGAAGUGGUGAUGUGAGUUUCCGGUAACUCACAUCACUUAAUGAUUGUUGAAGAGGCUGGAAUACAGAGGAGAUGUGUUGUGGAAGUUUGUUUAAAAGAACACCUUAGCAAAUUUUUCAUUUCAAAUAAAAUAGUGUUUCACAGUUGGUUCUUGCACUCGUAUCGAAAUAAUCUGUAGUAAAUAGUUUCCGAAACACACUUUGGAAUUGUGUUGGUGUGGGAUUUAUACAAUUCCCAAAUUGACGUCUCACAGAGCCAAACAAAUAUGUCAAACAAUACUGAUUUAGUUGCAGCAACCUUUUAGUGAAAAUUGUAAACAAAUUGUAUUCUGUGAAAACUAUUAAAAAUAAUAAGCAAAAUGUUUAUGUUCCUGA